Long non-coding RNA from Priapulus caudatus, 511 nucleotides. RefSeq lists it as uncharacterized. The record is from RefSeq and is a predicted model, not a curated record. The transcript has 4 exons. Lineage: Eukaryota; Metazoa; Priapulida; Priapulimorpha; Priapulimorphida; Priapulidae.
UACGUUGAACUCAGCACCAAUGGGUACAUCAACACAGCGAGAUUCACAACUCCAGGUUGCUAUAAUCCCGACGAGACGCUUACAUUUUGUCACGACGAAGAACUCAAGGAAGCCAUUCAGAGAGAAUCCGAAUCACUACACGCAGCAGAGAGCGUAGCAGUUGGAGGUAGCAGCAGCAAUCUCACGAUUAUCACCAUUGCCUGCUGUGUUGGCAUCUGCAUAGCCGUGGCCUUUACUGCGUUCGUUAUCUGGAAGCAGUACAAGACGACCAAACUGCAGAGCCCUCUAGUGAGAAAGAAUGCCAUUAAGAGAAGAAGAGUACCUCACUUGGGGUACGUAGAAGAACCCAUGGCAGGGCAGCAGCAGAACUGUGUGGCUAUUCAAAUUGAAUUCCUCUAAUCACCGGGCACAAGAUUAGAAGUAAUUGAAUUAAUGACGAAGAUGAAGAGGAUGUCAUACUUUCUCCAACAAACAUUUUGAAGUCUAAUUCUCGAUUCACGCGCAAUAACUC